GGAGCUCUCAUUUGCGAGGAGCCGUGCCGUGCCCCUGGGCCUGCCAGCGGCAGGUUGCUGUGCAGCCUCGCUGGUUUUGGAGAGCAUCACAGGGAAGGAGCGAUUCAGCUGGUUGUGUGGCCAUUCUGGGUCUGAGCCGGCUUGGCUGAACAACCUCUCCUGUAAACGUGUUGCUGUGGGCUCAGCGCUGUGCUGUGGCCCUGCGGGCUCACGUACAAGGUGUAGCGCAGACCCCUAUGGCACAGCACAAGACCAGAGAACAGUGAGGACGCUGGGGUGCCUGCCCAGCCCCUCCACGGCGGCCGCUCCCUGCGUCCUGCCAUGGCUGACUGUGGAGCGCAGCCUGGCUGGCUGGGCCUGAGGGCAGCAUUUGGCACAGUCGUAGCACUGGCAUGAGCCAGGAUGAACAUCCAGCGUAUGUGUCCUCUCCCCUGAAGGUGCUUGGAGCCUUGCUCUGCAGAGGGGCUCCUGGCCUCUUGCGCAGCUGGAGCACAAAUGCCCCAGGUGGAAGAACAGGCGCUCCCUGCUCAGCAGGAGCAGCUGCGCUAGCAGUCUUGCCCUGGGUGAGCUGCUGCUGGCACGAGAGCUAGUGCUGGAGAAGUGCGCUUGGCUGCGUUGCAGGAGAGAUGACUGCACUGGAGAAGCUGCCAGGUCAGGUGCAUCUGGACAUGCCCCAAGGGGCCCAGCCCUGCUUCCUGGAGGCGGCUGUAACUUGUAGUUUGCAGCUCCCCUCGGGAGAUGGACACCCAGUGCCGCUGGUGCGGACGUUUCAACCCUGGGACACAUGGAUGUGCUGACCAGCAGUGUGUUGCGCAGCUCGGGGAUCUGAGAGUCCUGGGGUAGGCGGCUCCCGGGCUCCCUCUGUGCUUGUUAAACUGCCUCCUGCUGCAGCUGUGGCUGAAACAGCCUAAUUGUCGCUCCCCAGACUCCAGGUCCUACCAGGGUGAGGUCGCCGGUGGCUGAAGAUGGCAGGCUGUGGACGCCUCAUCCUCCCCAUUCGAGGCCUGCUGCUCUACGCCUUGGCUCUGCGCUUCUGCACCCAGCACCCUCUUGUCAUAGCAGAGUCCGGUGAUACCUCCAACUCCUCUGUGGCCUCCAACUCCUCUGUGGCCCCUGACUCCUGGAUGAAUGAGACGGAACAAACACUGCUCACCUGCCAGAGCUUUCACUGCUCCGGGGAGAGGUGUUACCAGGACGAAGCCUACGCCAAUGAAACGAUGACCUGCCGCAACGACUCUUACUGUGAGCUCUACCGUUUCUCCAGCACAAACUACACAGCCGGGUGCAGCAAUGAGUGCAGCGCAGAGAAUUGCAGGACCAACAGCAGCGUGAGCAUGCAGCAGUGUGCCUUGGACUGCUGCGACUCACCCCUCUGCCUUCAGCUCAAUGCCAGCUCCUACGGUGACCUGCCACCCACCACUACGCCAGCUAUGACAACCACCACCACCACCACCACUGCUCGAGCCCCCGCCCGAAAUGGGAAACUGUGUGCAACGUUCUCCUGUCACGGGGACGGAUGUUUCAAAGGCAAGAAGACUGUUGCUGGAUGCACUGUUGGGCAUGACUUCUGUGAGAUGAAGAAGAUGGGUUUGGAUUAUGUGGCGGGAUGUAGCAAAGCCUGCAAAGCGGCCAAACCAGUCUGUGCCAGUGGAACGAAGGCAGCUUGUUACCAGGAGUGCUGCCCAGCUACCCCAAAAGCUAGCUGUCUGAAACUGGAUGGCAAAGUUCACGUCAAUGGUGCUGAGCAGGUGACUCUGGCCCCGCUCUUGAGGCUCAUGGCAUGUGGGAUGGUCUUUCUCCUGAAUUACAGGGUCUCUGCUUCCCUCUGGGAGUAAGCAGCAGUCCCGGUGCUCCACAGCCUGCCCUUGAGCUCAGCAGUACUUGUUAGGAUUCCUGUAGCUCUCUGACUUCAGCCAAGGUUGCUAUCAAAUGCCCUCUUUUAGAUCAGCGUCCCAGGAAGAAGGUGACGCAGAGCCACAGGUGGUCUCUCCUCCCCCUGUGCAGUGCGUCAAUGCCGUGGGGCCUCCCCAGGCCUCUGUGAAAACACCGAUGCGGUGGCUGCAGUUUGCUGGCUGGCUCCAGUCUGUACUCAUGUUGUCCUGUGCAGCGCAGGGAAAGGCAGAACCGGGGAACUCACCGCCCUGGAGAGUACCUGAUGGGAUGAAUUUCAGAGCACACAGCAAAUUAAGGUUUCUCUUGCACUCUGCUUCCAGAAGAGGCUUCAGGCACAUGCUCAGACUGUUUGUGUGUAGGGACUCCUCCUGCUUUUGAGCUGCUCAGUGACUGGUAGGUCCUGACCAUGGGAGGAUGUGGGGCUCCAGGACAGCGUGGAGAGCCAGUGCUCUGCUUCAUACCUCUAGGGGAUUGCAAAAACGACACUGGCUGCCUGCCUAAGCUCCUGCAGAGUGGGGGAGAACCGAGCAGCUGUCCUGUGGGAUGAUCCCCUCUGCGGGAUGACUGUCUCUUUCCACUGUUAAAGAGGCCUUUUCACUCUGCUCAGUCCCAGUUCAAGCCUCCUCUGGGUUACAGGAGGAGAGGACAAAUUUCAGGUGCCCUGGGGCCUUGUGACUAACUGCCUCACUCAUGCUUCUUUGUCAGCAGCAUUUGCACACAAGCCAAUACUGUGCACAAGAGACAUUGAAGGACGUGCUGGAAGCCAGGUCUCUUCCUGUGCCCCUGUGCCUGUGUGGGAAUGUAGGCAGAAAAGACCUGUUAUUAGCAAGCUUAAGCAGAAGUAGUUUUCCCCUUGUCUUUCAAUAGUAGCUGAUGCAGCUGCCCUAAGGGCUGAGGCCCUGCAUGGUGCAAGUGACAGGAUAUAGGUUACUGGCUGGCCUGAACUGUUGCUGAAGCUAUUCCUGAAGCACACGCUAGGAAAUCCUCUUUCCCCUGGGUUUGUUCACGCAGCACGGUAACAUACCUCUGCCACCCUCGCACAGCUAGCAAGGGCCACCACUGCUGCUUCUCUGGCUGGCCCUUGGUGAGAGAACUGAGGUGAGCUCUCCUCUGCGGUGGGGACAGGCUGAGAGCUGCUGGCUCAGCCGGUCUACUUGUCAACUUUGAGUUCAGUACACUUGGCUCAGUAGUUGCCCUGCACAGGACUCUGAUGCUGAUCCCAAAUCCCUCCUACCGUCCCUGAGCCCCGCUCAAACUCCCGCACCUUCCUGGGACUGGAGUCCUGGCUCCUGUUUGGUAUUUUACGUUUCUGUGAACUUUAAACGCUCCUAAUUGAGAUUCUCCGAGUGCGCUCAGAGGAAAGGCACUUAAUCUAUGCAUUAAGGAAGCUACAACAAGGCAUUCUUCCCUGCCAGAAACCUGUAGGCCUCUGUGACUUGCAAGUUAAUUACAGCUUCCGAGAGCUGCUGCAACGUGCCUGCGCUGCUGGGACUGCAGAUGCUGGCAUGACUGACCUCAGGUGUAGGAACAAGGGGAUGUUAAGCCUGUUUAAAAACCUGAAAAAUCUGCCUUGACUGAAGACAGAGGGUUUGCUCUAGUUAAUAAUCGGCUUGCAGUGCAGCCUUCUGGGCAUCCACUUACCAAUUAGUUUAAAACUGCUCUGGUAUUAAAAUACCUCCUGUCUGGACAGGUAAAAUUAAUAACACCAUGUUUCCUCUCCAAAUCUUAGAGAGGAAAAUGGGAUUUCUCUGAAGUGUCACAUGUUUUAGAUGAUCCUGUUUCAUAUCUAUAAUUCUCUACUCCUAAAGGUAGACCAGGGACAUGGGAAUUAGCUUGUAACUGUAAACAAACCAACCCCCUGCCCCCAGCCCACUCCAGUCUGCCUGUUAUUGCAUCGCAUGCAGCUGGUAUGUCGCUUGUGACGCACGACAUUACCAGGCCGAAUUUACCGAUCGUGCACACGCGCACUCUGCUGUCCUCUGCCGCUAUUUUCUCUUCCAAAGAAAAGAUUGUGAAAAAAUCGAAGUAUAAAUAAAAUGUUUCAGACCUGCUGGCCA
This is a long non-coding RNA of Struthio camelus australis, 3950 nucleotides long. Ensembl lists it as uncharacterized. Lineage: Eukaryota; Metazoa; Chordata; Aves; Struthioniformes; Struthionidae. The record is from Ensembl.